RNAcentral lists this non-coding RNA (48 nucleotides) under Schistosoma mansoni. The record is from RNAcentral. Lineage: Eukaryota; Metazoa; Platyhelminthes; Trematoda; Strigeidida; Schistosomatidae.
AUCCAGCUGACGAGUUCCAAAUAAGACCAAACGCGCGUCAAACUGGAU